AACGCACAUUGCGCCCGCCAGUACUCUGGCGGGCAUGCCUGUUCGAGCGUCAUUUCAACCCUCAAGCUCUGCUUGGUGUUGGGGAUCGGCGUAGCGCCCUCGGGCGUCGCCGUCCCCUAAAUCUAUUGGCGGUCUCGCUGUAGCUUCCUCUGCGUAGUAGUUUUCUCCUCGCUCUGGAAUCUCAGCGGUGCCCUGCCGUAAAACCCCCAACUUCCGAAAUGUUGACCUCGAAUCAGGUAGGAAUACCCGCUGAACUUAA
This 259-nucleotide unclassified non-coding RNA is filed under the name uncultured Ascomycota. RNAcentral describes it as "sequence contains ITS2". The stretch from base 1 to 52 matches the Rfam family "5.8S ribosomal RNA", at positions 103 to 154 of the family's 154-position model. The record is from RNAcentral. Lineage: Eukaryota; Fungi; Ascomycota.